This 253-nucleotide ribosomal RNA is filed under the name uncultured bacterium. RNAcentral describes it as "partial 16S ribosomal RNA". It matches the Rfam family "Bacterial small subunit ribosomal RNA", at positions 524 to 776 of the family's 1533-position model. The record is from RNAcentral.
UACGUAGGUGGCAAGCGUUGUCCGGAUUUAUUGGGUUUAAAGGGUGCGUAGGCGGUGACCUAAGUCAGUUGUGAAAUACUUCAGCUUAACUGGAGAGGUGCAAUUGAUACUGGGAUACUUGAGUACUGAUGAGGUAUGCGGAAUGGACGGUGUAGCGGUGAAAUGCUUAGAUAUCGUCCAGAACACCGAUAGCGAAGGCAGCAUACUAAGGAGUAACUGACGCUGAGGCACGAAAGUGUGGGGAUCAAACAGG